GACGAACGCUGGCGGCGUGCUUAACACAUGCAAGUCGAACGGAAAGGCCCUGCUUUUGUGGGGUGCUCGAGUGGCGAACGGGUGAGUAACACGUGAGUAACCUGCCCUUGACUUUGGGAUAACUUCAGGAAACUGGGGCUAAUACCGGAUAGGAGCUCCUGCUGCAUGGUGGGGGUUGGAAAGUUUCGGCGGUUGGGGAUGGACUCGCGGCUUAUCAGCUUGUUGGUGGGGUAGUGGCUUACCAAGGCUUUGACGGGUAGCCGGCCUGGGGGGGUGGCCGGCCAAAUGGGGCUUGAGAUACGGCCAAAGCUCCGUGGGGGGGAAGGAGUGGGGAAUAUUGCAAAAGGGGCGGAAGCCUGAGGCAGCAACGCCGGGGGGGGGAUGACGGCCUUCGGGUGGAAAACCGUUUUCGCCUGUGACGAAGCGGGAGGGCCGGGAAUGGGGAAAGAAGCACCGGCAAACUACGG
RNAcentral lists this ribosomal RNA (467 nucleotides) under uncultured bacterium. RNAcentral's name for it is "partial 16S ribosomal RNA". It matches the Rfam family "Bacterial small subunit ribosomal RNA", at positions 28 to 506 of the family's 1533-position model. The record is from RNAcentral.